CGCUGCGGUGCGCCUAACACAUGCAAGUCGAGCGGGAAGUUUUUUGAAGCUUGCUUCAGAAAGACGGAUAGCGGCGAACGGGUGAGUAACACGUUGGUAUCUGCCCCUUGGUCAGGGAUAGCCAGAAGAAAUUCUGAAUUAAUACCGGAUAGUCGCUUUGGAGUAAAAAUUUAUUGCUUGGGGAGUGGCCUGCGUUCUAUCAGCUAGUUGGUGAGGUAAUAGCUCACCAAGGCUAUGACGGAUACCUGGUCUGAGAGGAUGAUCAGGCACAAUGGAACUGAGACACGGUCCAUACUCCUACGGGAGGCAGCAGUGAGGAAUCUUCCACAAUGGACGAAAGUCUGAUGGAGCGACACCGCGUGAAGGAUGAAGGCCUAACGGUUGUAAACUUCUUUUCUGAAGGAGCAUAAUGAGAGUACUUCAGGAAUAAGGGACGGCUAAAUACGUGCCAGCAGCCGCGGUAAUACGUAUGUCCCAAGCGUUACCCGGAAUCACUGGGUGUAAAGGGUUCGUAGGUGGAAAUUUAAGUCAGGUAUGAAAGACCGGAGCUCAACUCCGAGUUUGUGCUUGGAAACCGGGUUUCUAGAAUCAGGGAGAGGUAAGCGGAAUUCUAAGUGUAGGGGGUGCAAUCCGUAGAUACUUAGAGGAACACCAAAAGCGAAGGCAGCUUACUGGGAACUAUAUUGACGCUGAGGAACGAAAGCGUGGGGAGCGAAAAGGAUUAGAUACCCUUGUAGUCCACGCCCUAAACGAUGAUAACUUANUGNUGGGAGUAAUCCCAGUGCUGAAGCUAACGCGAUAAGU
RNAcentral lists this ribosomal RNA (804 nucleotides) under uncultured bacterium. RNAcentral describes it as "bacterial SSU rRNA". It matches the Rfam family "Bacterial small subunit ribosomal RNA", at positions 34 to 865 of the family's 1533-position model. The record is from RNAcentral.